RNAcentral lists this long non-coding RNA (1340 nucleotides) under Homo sapiens (human). RNAcentral describes it as "HSALNT0043701". Lineage: Eukaryota; Metazoa; Chordata; Mammalia; Primates; Hominidae. The record is from RNAcentral.
UUCUAGAAAUACUCCCAUUAGCCUAUGAUCUUUGCUUUGGCAUGGAGUCUGAUGACACAUUGAUACCAUUUUCUGCCUGUUAACCUACCAAAGGACACAAAACCCUCUUCAUUUCCCUAGAAGUACAUGUAAUAUUUCAAAAUGUAUCACGGGGCACAGCCAUCCCAGGAAAAAGAUGUAAGGUAAUGAGAUAACGUGAAGAAUUCUAGGCACUGAAACUCAAUUCUGGUGGUGAUUUUAGUCUGAGGAAACACAACAAAGGCCAAGAAGAAUGGGAUCGUCAUGACUGGCUGGGAAAUGAAUCAUGGGCAGCCCAGACGCAGGGCUUUGAUCAGUCCAGCUUCCUCCUCCUAAGAAGUUUCCACCAGAACAUUGCUUGGUGACAUAGUGGUCUUCACCCUGAGCGUCUACAAAUGUAUGUUAAGUUGCUAUUAAGGACCUGUGGACAGAGAAGGCACACCACCACAGAUACUAUAUUUUCUACAAAUUGAAGAUUUGUGGCAAACCUGCAUUGACCAAGUCUAUCGGCACGAUUUUACCAACAACAUAUGCUCACUUGGUGUCUCUUUGUCACAUUUUGUGGUCUGGAACCAAACCCCUGAUAUUUCUAUGAUGUGCCUGUAGAUUGAGGAGGCAGUAGCAGCACUGGGAGCUGGUCCUCUCAGCACCGACAGCAAGCCCCACAGCACCACUGUUGGGUUUUGGCAUGAUCAGCAACCAGGAAUAUUCCCACAACCAUCCCAGCCAGGAGGGGAAAUGGGGUCGUCACCCAGUGUGCAGAACAUAUAAAGACAUCCCUUGGGAACCUCAAAAUUGGAACGGAGAUGGGCCAGAGAAAUACAUUUGUGACUACGUCUGUGACCUGAAUUUUUCCUACCACAGUAUGUGACUCCUCAGCUUCUGACUAAUGGGGUACAGGGGAUGCUACCACAAAAUAUGGCAGCUUGGCAUACUGGGUUUUUUAACCUGAAUUAAAUUGAGAAAACUGUAGAGGCAAGAAAGUCACUCUACCUUCUCCUGCCUUUUUCCCAUGGAACAUGGCUGUAAAAGAAUUUUCUGACCUACUUUGCCUGAAAAUAAGUCCUAAGACCCUCAUUCCAGAGGGGUCCUGCCCUAUACCUGGAGACCAAGAAGAAUCUGAACAAACAGGCCUUCCUAAAUUCUCCACAGCUUAUUACCAUCACAUCCUUUUGUCCUCCAAUCACACUUCUGUACAAGUGACCAUAAAAAUACAGUUUUCCCUGGGCCUUUGGGUCUUCAUUUCUAAAGGCUCCCAUGUCAUGUAAAACUUUGGUUAAAUACAUUUGUUUUGCCUUUGUCCUGUUAAUCUGUCUUUUGUU